UUGACCUCGGAUCAGGUAGGACUACCCGCUGAACUUAAGCAUAUCAAUAAGCGGAGGAAAAGAAACCAACAGGGAUUGCCCCAGUAACGGCGAGUGAAGCGGCAACAGCUCAGAUUUGGAAUCUGGCCCCCAGGGCCCGAGUUGUAAUCUGGAGAGGAUGCUUCUGGCGCGGCGCCUUCCGAGUUCCCUGGAACGGGACGCCGGAGAGGGUGAGAGCCCCGUACGGUCGGACGCCUAGCCUUUGUGAAGCUCCUUCGACGAGUCGAGUAGUUUGGGAAUGCUGCUCAAAAUGGGAGGUAAAUUUCUUCUAAAGCUAAAUAUUGGCCAGAGACCGAUAGCGCACAAGUAGAGUGAUCGAAAGAUGAAAAGCACUUUGAAAAGAGGGUUAAAAAGUACGUGAAAUUGUUGAAAGGGAAGCGCCCGUGGCCAGACUUGUGCCCCGUGGACCACCCAGCGCCCUCAGCGCUGGUGCACUCCGCGGGGCGCAGGCCAGCAUCGGUUUUUCCAGGGGGACAAAGGCGGCGGGAACGUGGCUCCCUCGGGAGUGUUAUAGCCCGCCGCGCCAUGCCCCUGGGGGGACCGAGGACCGCGCUUCGGCAAGGAUGCUGGC
RNAcentral lists this ribosomal RNA (610 nucleotides) under Leptographium cainii. RNAcentral's name for it is "Grosmannia cainii partial 28S ribosomal RNA". It matches the Rfam family "Eukaryotic large subunit ribosomal RNA", at positions 1 to 630 of the family's 3401-position model. Lineage: Eukaryota; Fungi; Ascomycota; Sordariomycetes; Ophiostomatales; Ophiostomataceae. The record is from RNAcentral.